This 301-nucleotide ribosomal RNA is filed under the name uncultured bacterium. Its description in RNAcentral is "partial 16S ribosomal RNA". It matches the Rfam family "Bacterial small subunit ribosomal RNA", at positions 509 to 807 of the family's 1533-position model. The record is from RNAcentral.
CAGUCGCCGCGGGAAUACGUAGGUGGCAAGCGUUGUCCGGAAUUAUUGGGCGUAAAGGGCUCGCAGGCGGCUUCUUAAGUCUGAUGUGAAAGCCCCCGGCUCAACCGGGGAGGGUCAUUGGAAACUGGGAAACUUGAGUGCAGAAGUGGAGAGUGGAAUUCCACGUGUAGCGGUGAAAUGCGUAGAGAUGUGGAGGAACACCAGUGGCGAAGGCGACUCUCUGGUCUGUAACUGACGCUGAGGAGCGAAAGUGUGGGGAGCGAACAGGAUUAGAUACCCGCGUAGUCCCUGUCUCUUAUAC